UACGGAGGAUCCGAGCGUUAUCCGGAUUUAUUGGGUUUAAAGGGUGCGUAGGCGGCCUGUUAAGUCAGGGGUGAAAUUUUUCGGCUCAACCGGAAGCUUGCCUUUGAUACUGAUGGGCUUGAAUGCAGUUGAGGUAGGCGGAAUGUGACAAGUAGCGGUGAAAUGCAUAGAUAUGUCACAGAACACCAAUUGCGAAGGCAGCUUACUAAAGUGUGAUUGACGCUGAGGCACGAAAGCGUGGGGAUCAAACAGG
Molecule: ribosomal RNA, 253 nt
Filed under: uncultured prokaryote
Description: partial 16S ribosomal RNA
Rfam family: Bacterial small subunit ribosomal RNA
Source: RNAcentral